UGUCCAUCCAUCCAGUCCUGAUUCAAGGCGCAGCGGAGUAACCGCGUUCAAUCCAUCCAGUCUAGAUGGCUGGUGUGCGUUGCUCGAUUGGAUCCGCCGGAGGUGCGGGAUGGGACCGAGGCAAGCCGAUGCGUGCGAUCGAUCGACCGGAGGAGCGGAGCAGCCCUCGCGUGCCGGACGUCGCAAUGCGUGCGAUCCGACCUUCGCCGUGGCCUGCAGUGCGUUCAGGUGGUGGGGGGCAUGGAAUCCCAGGCGCCGACACGAGGCUGUGGCGCGAGCAUUGAAUCAUGCGCUGUCGAUUCGAGUUUCAUUUGUUGGUGAUUCCAUAAUUAAAUUGCAGUUUCUACACGCCAUUACUGGUAAUGGUAUGUGCCGCUCGAGUCCUCCAAUAAUUCAGAGCUAUGUCUUUACUGUACGCGCCUCCAUAUGAUCCGUUUUGCUGCUCUUUGUCAAUUCCCCUCCAGCCCUCCUGCAAAAUCUUCUCCCGCAACCAUGACUGUUCGUGGCCUGUCUGACAUACUUCCUACUACCUCUUCCUUUCCCCAAACUUGUGCAUAUCCAUGUUCUUAUUUAGACUACUCUUUUUGUUCCCAAAUGAUUGCAGGUUUUCUAGCUCGUUGGAGUUUGCUUGCGGUGGGCUUGCUCUUCGAUGGUUCUGCUUGAUUACAAGGUGAAGCACUACCCAGUGUUCUGUGAUACCGUUCCUUCAACCUUGCACGCCCCCACCCCUCGCAAUAGCAGGCGACACCUGGAGAUGGCGACGGCAGCAUUGCCAGCUGCACUCAUGCGCCUCUUCCCCCGUCAGACUGACUUUCGUCCUUGGUGACUCAUGUAAUUAUAAAUACUAGGAGGUUGUCAAUUGAUUUGACCAGAUACUGGAGAAUGGUAUCGAGUUUUUAUUCCAAAUUCUUCGGCCGAUAAUCUCUAAUGGCUUCCCAACAGGUUAAUUAGAACACUAUAGUAAAAUGCGAAAAAAAUUUGUAGCCGUACUGUUCUAGAGGAGGGGUGAAGCCUCAAUAUGGUCUGCUUCUAUCCACAAAUGAGCAAAGCUCAAUAAUCUUGCGGACAUUUCUACAUAUGUAUGUGGAUUUUCAAGACAGGUACAGGCAUUGCAUCAUUCCAAGCAUAAGGUGAGUUUCUUUCUAGAAUUCGAACAGAAUAUGAAUCAAGCUGCAAGGAACUUCACUCCAAGAGAUCUCAGAUCCAUGCCUAAAACUGAAACUUCUCAGUUCUUGACAAACUAAUAGUAUUUCACAAUGUGCUCACGUUUUUGUCGCCUUCCAUGUAGAUGCAGCCUUUCCCUUCUGGGAUGUUCAUGCGCAGCUUUUUCUAACUUACAGUAUUGAAUUUUCAUCCAGAUUAUCACCGAUGGAACCACCAGCUAAUAAAAUGGGGCAGAAAUGCGUCCUCUAUUUGCUCAUACCAUGCACACGAAUGGAUAAUGAAAUAAGUUAUUUACUCUUCAGUUACACAUAAAUCUAAAUAGUUCUCUUCUAUUUUCUCCCUACCAUGCACGAGAGAGUAGUUAUUUACUCUUUAGUUACACAUAGCAUCUAAAUAGUAGUAAUUGAUAUCCUAUAAAAACCUUAAUUUGGAUCCAUCAACUGAUAAUCAUGCAAUCAGUUAACCUCGCUGCUCACAUGCCAUCCCUCUAUUUAUAUACAUGUUUGUAGCUAAGUAGCAACUGACAUCUUAUAAAUAUCAUUAAUUUCCACUGGCCAUUAACAAUUCUGCAUCCAUUUAAACUGACUGCUACGUGCCAUCCCUCUGCUUACAUAGAACGUCUGUAGUAGAUAUUGGAACACUCAACAAUUCCUACUCGUAGGUACCACGCCUACACUCUCCUUAUGUAUUACGCUGGUGCUGUGAGGAAUCUGGCUGGAGCAAAACCAAUGCAUUUUCAAGGCAAAACAUGCACUGGCUGCUGACAUGGUGGCGGCGAGCCGACAAGCCGUCCAACUAUGGCGCCAAGCUGGAGCAAAGUGCUUAGAACUACCUUUUGUUGAGCUACCGGCAGGAAUCGACUAAUAUGAAUCAAUCUGGGGAUGAGUCUCAUCCAAGGAUGGCUUAAAGUAUAGAGCAUGCAUUAGAUGAUACGUUGAACCACGAUGAAUCUACUCACUCCUCCUCAAAGAUAUAUCAUGUGGUGACAAAACCUAUGCAAGAAACCUUCAAGCCACCGACGCUAAAGAUAAUGUCCAACUAAGCACGAGGGUACAAGGAUCCUUCCACGUUCAAUUCCUUUCACAGAAUUAGACCCAAGUUCUUCACUUGGAAGUUAUUAUUAACCCAACAUAUGUUUUUGCUGCCACCUAAUUAUGAAACCAAAAUUUGUAUAUUGUCAGGAAAGAUUGGAAUUCUGUGAAAGGAAUUGGAUGUGUAAUGUUUUAGAUCAUAUAGUCCCAGUAUUAUUAAGCCAUCAUGUACUUGAAGUUAUUUGUGCCCUUAGAAUGCCGCGUUUAGCAAAUCUAAGAACAUGCCCUUCCUUCAGUUAUGUACUCAUAAGUAUUUGGCAGAUUUGAACGUGCAAUCAUCUGAAAGCUUACUCCUUCCAUUUAUGUUCUCA
Molecule: long non-coding RNA, 2566 nt
Organism: Triticum dicoccoides
Lineage: Eukaryota; Viridiplantae; Streptophyta; Magnoliopsida; Poales; Poaceae
Exons: 5
Source: RefSeq, a predicted model, not a curated record